ACACUGCAAGACACAAGUACAGUUCAACCCUGACAUGAUUUUGAGACCAGACAGUGCUAACAGAGGCCAGGGAUGGCAGGGUGAAGAGGUGGGUGAAAGUAGAAACUGCAGAGCCCGGCAGUGUGACACAAGGAGAGCCCCGCCUGCCUGGGAAAUUACAAAGAGGGCUAGGGGGAAUGGUGAAGGGUGGAGCCCCUGCCUAGGAUCCCACCCCCACCCCUGUGAGGGAGCUGGGGCGUGGCCAGGGUAGAGCUUCUGCCUAGAAUCCCCAGGUGAAGCCUUGACUAGGUUCUUGUGAGGGUGUGGACUGUCUUCCCUGGCUCAGCCAGUGUCUCCCUCACCAGGUCCUCAGAGUCUAGUAAGGGUACUUUCGUGUACUUGAUCCUCUAGAUUGGAGCACUGAAUGGUCCUUUUUGCUUUAUACAGCAGCCUACCUCGGAUGUGUUGUGUCACAGUAACAGAAAGUAGACCAGGACUGGUGACUAGGACACUGUGAGCUAAACAGGCUGGAGCAACCUUGACACAGAGUCCAUCCCACAAGCAGCUUGUAUUUAGCCCAUAGCCCUUUCUCAAGAUAAUUUCUGAUCUGCAGAACAUAGUCACGAGGACCCUCCUCUGCCUCUCUCCAAAUGGCUCUUUCUGGGUGCUGGCUUGCCUUCUGCCUGCUGGGACCCAUGUCACCUACCUGCUGUCUUGGUCACUUCAAACUCCUCGCUUUUCAGGGGGACAUCACUCUCUCUCUCAAAUGCAGCUUUGGACUGAAAUAAAACAGCACUUCAGCAGACAUACAUCAUGAAGAGAGAAGUCCCCUCCAGUCCCCUUGGUUUGGUCUCUUGGGCACUGUGGCCAGGCAUACUUUCUAGUGUGGGUAUGGCAUUCCCAGGGUAUAGUCCAGGGAGAGCGCAGGCAGAGGGUCUGAUCACAGGGGAUGGACAGCCUCAGUCUGUCACCUUGGCUCUCAAAAGCACACUUGAUGAGGCUGCUGAGGGUUCUGGUGCUCUGGAGGAAGAGCCUAUCAUCGGCUACCUGAGGGGCAGGAGUUGACCAAGGCCACCCUGGCUCCUCCAGCAACCCUGCAGGGACUACCCCUACAGUGGGCCUCCUGCUCAUGGGGGGGAUCAAGAGGGUGGCUGGGUCCUGUCCUCUGCAGUGAAUGGUAUCUGGGGCCCUGCAGGCCCCUUGGUCCCCAGGUCCCUGUGACUGGUACUCACGUAGGCCAUGGCGUACUCGAUCUCAGCACCCUGCAACUCAGCCUUGAACUGUGUGAAGUAGAGGUAGGAUUUCCCCUGGGGCCUGUGGGGAGAUAAGAGUCAGCAUGGGGACUUGGGGGAGAGGCCCCAACUGAGGCCCUGGAAAGAGCCUGGUGAUGUGGAACUCCAUUGUGGUAAAUUUCCAGGACACCCAAAGCCAGAGGCAGGAAGUAGCUUUGUGGGUGCCAGGGAGUAGGGAAGGGGGGAUGGGAGCUCCAGAGUCAGGGCUACCUCUCAGUGUUUAUCUUCUUGUUUUGUUUCAAGACGGAUUUUUGAGACAGAUUCUCAGGUAGCCCAGAAUGGCCUCCAACUAACUAUGUGGCCAAGACUGGCCUUGAGGUCCUGAUGUUCUAAUUUCUGUCUCCCCAGAACUGAACAAGAGAAUCAGCAGUUGGCUGUAUUGCACAGCGCUCUGGUGUCUUCCUGCCAUGCAACCAGAUUCCCCAGACCCUGCACUGCUCUCUGCCAUCUUCCUUCCCCUCCCUCUUCUGCCCAGUGCCUCAGUGUCGACACACACACUGGAGCUUCCUCAAGGUCGCAGGACUGGCCACCGAACAGCCUGCUCUCCAUUUGUCCUGGGUGGAUCAUGGUAUGCACAUGUACAGUGGCUGCAAAGAUAAAGAGACACACAGAGACAGACAGAGACAGACGGGGAGACAGAGGAGACAGACACAGAGACAGAGAGAGAUGGGGGUGAGGGGAGGUGUGGGGGCGGGGGGGGGGAGAGAUCCCAGCUGUGCACAUGGGGCUCACCUCCAGACGGUACAGGUAAAGUGCUGACUGUCUUCGCUUGUGCCCAGGCUCAUCUGCCACUGCUGGGGAGGGAGAGGACAGGCUUGAUGAGCCUCUUUGCAAGGCCUGCUACACAUAGUCCCUCCUAAACUCUGCAUCCUACUAAAGCAGCAGACACUGCCCUGCCACUGGAACUAUCCAGUCACUUUUUUUUCCUGUAAGAUGUCCUGAGAACCGACGGCAACAGCGAGACCCUGUCUAAAUUCAGUUGGGAACUGCAGACCAGUGUCAACCAUGGUGCUCUGGCUCCAUUCCUUGUUUUUUUUUUUUUUUUCCGGAGCUGAGGACUGAACCCAGGGACUUGCACUUGCUAGGCAAGCGCUCUACCACUGAGCUAAAUACCCAACCCUCUGGCUCCAUUCCUAACCAGAUUCCUCAACCCCCUGCCCUGCUCUCUGCUGUCUUCCCCUCCCUUUCCUCCUCUCCUCAGUGCCUUGGUGCCAACACACACACUGGAGCUUCCUCAGGGUGGCAGGACCACCACAUAGCCUGUUCCCCACUUGUCCUGUGUGGACUGUGGUGUGUGCAUAUGCAGUAGAGAACGUCUGUAAUAGUCAAUGGUCAAUGGGGGAUGCUGUUACCCUAACACCCAGCACUCAGGACAACCAGAAUUUAGUCUCAGCUAUGGAAGGAGUAGGAAGCCAGCAUGGGCUACAUGAGACUAUCAAAAACCAACCAUCCAACACAAUCAACCAAAACCAAAGCCAAAAACCAGCCAGGGCUGGAGAGACAGCUCUGCACCUAAGAGCACAGGCAGCUCUUUUAGAGGAUCUGAGUUCUAUUCCCUACACACACGUGGUGGCUCACAGCCACUACAACUAGUUAUGGAGACUUGAGGCCCUCUUUUGGUUUUGUGAAGUUCAGGCUGUCCUGAAGUGGAGAAGGACCUUGAACUCCUGAUCCUCCUGCUUCAGCCAGAAGAGAGCUGCCACCCAUCCUGCUUGCUACUGGGCGCUCUUAUAGCCAUUUAAUCUCAGGCACAGACAAACCCUAAAACUGCUCACAGAAUAAAGUAGAAAAUUUCCAUUCCCUGGAUCAUUCACAUUAAAUCACGCAAAUCUGUGAAGUCCAGUCCACGGUGUAGCCAUCACUACCAUGUAUCUAGAACAAUCCAUCAGUCCAAAAGGAAGCCCUGUGAUGAGCCUUCUGGCAAGCCUCUCUCUGGUCCCAGCACAUCCACUUCCUCUGUCAGGGCUCCUGUCUUGGAUACUUCCUGUAAUGGAAUCCCACAGCAUGACUUGUCCCUGUCUCCCUGAGCAGCAUCCUGGAGGUCCCUCCAGACUGUGGCAGUGUCAGUGCCACCCUCCUUGUAACAGAAAAACACUCCCCUCGAGCUCACUGGGAAGCUGGUUCUGGAAGUGGUAUCUGCGUUCGUCUCAGGCACCCUCCAUGGUCUUGAGGGAGGGAUGGCCCAGCCCUGUAAUGGGUAGCAGUGACAACAGCAGGGAUAAGCCACCCCCACAGCCGACUGCAGACUGCUGGAGAGAGGUUCAGGAGCAGGUGCUGCCCCUGAGGAUCUGCUGCCCUGGACACUUUCAUCUCAACCUGACACAGACUAGAGGCACAGGGGAGGAGGGUACACCCCAUAAAACCAGAGUUUCCACGAGCCUCUAGAGCAUUUUCUUUUUUCUUUUUUUUUUUUUUUGGUUCUUUUUUUCGGAGCUGGGGACCGAACCCAGGGCCUUGCGCUUCCUAAGCAAGCGCUCUACCACUGAGCUAAAUCCCCAACCCCGAGCAUUUUCUUUUUUUUUUUUUUUUUUUUUUUGGUUCUUUUUUUCGGAGCUGGGGACCGAACCCAGGGCCUUGCGCUCCCUAGGUAAGCGCUCUACCACUGAGCUAAAUCCCCAGCCCCCCCCCCCCCCCCCGAGCAUUUUCUUAAUUAGUAAUCAAUGGGGAUGCAGCUGACUAUUGGUGGAGUACUCUCUGGGCUGGUGGUCCUGGGUUCUCUAAGAAGCAGGCUGAGCAAGCCAUGAGAGCAAGCCAGUCAGCAGCACCGUCCAUGGCCUCUGCAUCAGCUCCUGCCUCCAGGUUCCUGUCCUGCUUCUUCAAUGACUGAUAUGGAAGUGUAAGCGGACCACACGCUUUCCACCUGGCUUCCUUGGGUUAUGGUGACUCAUCACAGCAAUGGUAAGCCUAAAGGAUGCCUGUGUUCAGUUCCUAGAACCCACAGGGCAGCUCACAACCACUGACUAACUCUAGCUCCUCUAACCUCAGAGAGCAACACACUAACAAGUAUACACCUGCACAUCUACUACAUACAUAUGCUUAAAAAACCAGACUACAUGGAGGAGACAGGCUGGGAGCUAGGUCCUGGGGGCUUGCCCAUGAGCUAUCCAGAAGACUGCCAUCUUGCUUCCUCUGAUGGUUUCUUCAUAUUCAUAUCCAAGAAUUUGCAGAUAGCUCAGUGGUUAUAGCACUGGCUGCUCUUGCAGAGGACCUAAGUUUGAUUCCCAGCACCCAUAUGGUGGUUCACAACUGUAACUCCAGUUCCAGGACAUCUGAUGGCCCGUUCUGGCCUCUGUGGUCACUGCAUGCUGGUUUCUGCUCACUGAGGUGUUUUGCUGUUUGUAGCCUCUCUAUUUCUUUGUUUGCUAUGUACAUAACAAAGUCACUCAUUCAAUGUCCCAAGCAGGGCUGUUAUCUCUCUCCACGCCUUACACAACACUCUUAUUCAUGGGUGUGUGAUAUUCCUAGUCACUCAAGUGCUGUGCAGGCCCAUCCAUCCACGGUCACUAAGGCACCUCCCACUCAUUGCUACCAUGGGAAGUUCUUUUUUUUUUUUUUAAAGAUUUAUUCAUUUAUUAUAUAUAAGUACACUGUAACUGUCUUCAAAUACACCAGAAGAGGGCAUCAGAUCUCUUUACAGAUGGUUGUGAGCCACCAUGUGGUUGCUGGGAAUUGAACCCAGGACCUCUGGAAGAGCAGUCGGGGCUCUUAACCACUGAGCCAUCUCUCCAGCCCACCAUGGGAAGUUCUACUCAGAACAUUCAUGUCCAAGGUUCCGGAGACACUGAUAUUUCCCCUGAAUGAACUGACCUGUGUGUGGCAGUUGCCUUGCAUAGCGUACAGGCAGCCAACCUCACAACAAUUUGUUUUGUGCCCUGUAUGCUGCCGAGCUAUCGGCCCUCUUGCCAGAUCACACAUAGGCUUUCCUGAGCACUCUCCCAGGCUGGCUGCCCAGGUGAGCCUCCUAAGCCACAGACCUUCUUGUGAUAACAAAGGGUCCACUGCCCAUAGUAGUGACACUGUUACCCAGCACUCAGGAUGCAGAGCAGGUAGAGCAAAGGCAGUUUGAGGUCAGCAAGGGCUACACAGUAAGAGCCCAUCUUAUAACAUGACUAAAACAGUAAGAACCACAGUGGCUGAUCACACAUAGAUUGAUAGUCAGGAAUCCGCACUGUGGGUUGCUGGUUCCACUAGGCGAAAGCCAAGGCAACUAGGGGUCCUUUGGGCUCAAGGGAACUGAGAAUUCAGUGCCCCAAGUGUCUGGUCACUUUCCCUUGACACCAUCUGUGUGACACCCUGAGUAACUUACCUCGUUGGUCCCUCCUUGGGAAGCGUAAGUGAAUGUGCAUGUAAACUUGCCCUGUAGAAGGAAAAAUAAAAGGAGGCUGAAGGGCAAAGGUUUCAACGCUCGGAAUCGAGACCCUAGCAUAACGGGCAUGGUAUCAUCUCUGGUUCCCAGGAGGCUGAGGCAGAAAUGGGACAUUAGCCAGCCUGGGUGACUUAUCAAGGUGCUGUCCUGGCGUAAAACAGAUCAAAGAGGACUGGGAUGUACUUCAGCAGUAGAGCCCCUGCCCAGAUGUCAAGGAUUGAGACUGUCUUAAAUCAACUGUGAGGGGCUGCUGGGUGACUUGGGGGUGGAGCCCUGCCUAGAAUCUCCCAUUGAGGAGCUGGGGGCGUGGUCAGGGGUGGAGCCCUACCUAAGGCUGGGACAGAACACUGGCUCAGCCUAUUUGAGACCCUGGGUUCCAUCCCUCGGUACCAUAUAAAACAAAGACCCUGUGACGCCCUCCAGUGACCAUCUGAUAUCUUUCCUCUCAGGAGGUCAGAAUUUUGCUCAAAUCCAUGUGGUUUCCCGGGAAGGUCAAAUGGCCUUCAGCAGCUGCCUCUUUAGAACACUGGCUAUGAGGGUCCUGGAACUCUUCUCCAGGCUGGCCCCGAACUGAGAUCUGCCUGACCGCCGCCUGAGUGCUGAGAUUAACGGCGUAGGCCGCCAUCACCACCUGUUGAUUGUUUUUCGUUUAUAACUUACUUUACCUUUGUUUAUAUUUUAAGUUUUACUCAAAAAUAUUUUAUUGUGAGUGCUCAGCAAUUAAGAGCAUUGGCUGUUCUAUAGAGGAUCAAGAUUUGAGUCUCAGCACCCACAUGGUGGUUCCACAACUUUAACUCCAGCCCCAAGAGAUCCGAUGCCCUCUUCUGGCCUCUGUAGGUACCAGAUAGACAUAUAUGCGGGCAAAACGCCAUGCACACAUAAAAAUACUAUAAUAACAGUAUUUUAAGUGGACUCUUCUAGUAUAGCAGCUUCCUAUAAGUCCAGGUGUUGCUUGUUACCGGGCAUGCCUGACCAGCCCUCUACUGCUGAUUAAUUUUCCCAUCUUUCGGCUGGCUGGCAAGAUGGAAGAGUGAAUAAAGGGGCUUGCAGCCAUGACAGCUGACCAUCCUCCAGCCCUCGGAACUAGGUGGUGGCAGAACUGACUCCUAAAAGCUGCCCUCACUACAAGUGAGCUGGGGCAAGCAGCCUUGCAUAACAGAAAAUAAGUAUGUAACUUUAAAAAUUAGACUCCAGGGCCAAGUGAUCCUCAAUGUAGUCACAAGUACUGGGCCUCUUUCCCCUCAAAUGGCUGAUGCCACCUUAGCCUGCCACAUCCCAGUCCCUGAGCGAUGCACCACAAAAGUCAUCAAAAUAGUGGCAGGGUCCUCCUUCCCACCCCAGCCUAUGGGCCACUGCAAUAAAAUGGCCAACAAGUGGCAGCACCAGUGACAUCUCAGCCUACCGCCCUGUUGGGGAGGCUCAUCUCCUCUCAGGCCUCCCCCAUGCACCAGCAGCCCCACAGAGAUGGUGCCUCAGCAAAAGCCAGCUGCAGGCAGGACUUUCCACCCUUAUCCAUGAGCCCAAUGCAGGGAAAAGGUGGUGAAAAAGAGCCACCAAUUGCUGAGCAGGAAAACCCACCAGUCCCUUGAGAUUAUCAUUAAAAAACAACAAAAACCCACCAAUCCCCGAGCCUUCCCCAAGCUCAAGCUCUUGAAAUUCCACCAAUCCUCAAUCUGGAAAUCUCUGCCCUGAGAUCUGCCCCUCCCAGAUCCUAUAUUAGCACUGCCCCUUCAAUUCCCUGCUGCCCAGUCCCUAGAGAGGAAGGCAGAUGUCCCUGGAUUUAUCCCUUCAUAUCCUGGACUCCCCAAUAGAUUUCUUUCAUGAUAUUUGCUGCCUGGUGUGAGUCCUCAGAAGCCAGGAAGAAAAGAAGCAAUGAAGAGUCAGAGAAGGGAUACUUCUCCCUAGGAGCUCCAGCACCUCUGCUGAGGAGCCAUUAUCUCAGCACCGUGUGCUUCCUGGGCUUAAGUGUCUCAGGAUGCCCCUCCACUUGGAUGCUGUCCCACCAGAGCUGUGCUGUCCCCGAAACACAUCGCCUGUCUGCUCUCUCGGUCACUUCCUGUCCCAUCCUUGUCUCUCACUGGUAGAUGUCCCUUCCCACUGUUUAGUCACUGCAGAAGUCAGAGGGCAGCUCGCAGGCCAGUUUUCUCUAACCGGAACGGUUUUGGAGAUCACACUUGGAUCGUCAGGCUUGGCAGCAAGCACUUUAAACUUGCUGAACCAUCUCAUGAGCCCAUUUCUGGUUCCCACCCUUCUCUCAAAUGAAAGGGAAUGGACUAGUUCACUAACCACAGAGGCCAUGUGUGUUCCCAGAAUCGGGACAGAACCUGGCAGCGAAGACCAGCUGACCCGUGUGAGAUUACUUAUGGGGAAGUCUUUCAUCUUUAAUUGUCUUCUAUAAUAUUAUUGAUUUUUUUAAGACAGAGUUUCUCUGGCUGUCAUAAAAUUCCUUCUGUGGACAAGGUUGGUCUCAAACUCACAGAGAUACACCUGGUUCUGCCUCCCAGGUGCUGGGCUGGAGCCUACACGGGGCUGUCCUAUAUACCUGACACUGUCCCCACUCCCACUCUCCCAUCACCAGUCCUCAGUUUCCAGCCUGGGACCCAAGGGCCCACAGAAUCCCCUGCAAUCCCUCUGUCCUCCAACCAACACCACUUGAGAAGGAGCUUCACAGUGGCACCAUUUUCAUUUGGAUUCAUUUAAUGAGUCUACAUAUCACAUAAUUAUAAAAGAAUAAGAAUUGACAAAAAUAUUUUCUUUCCAUAAUAUGUAGAGGUGGUUUCUGGUUUGGUUUUUUUGUUUUUUCUUUUUCUUUUUUUACUUCUUUAUGCUGGACUCUGGUAGGAGAGGGUGGGGAAGGACAGGUCCUAUUCCUGACCCUGGCACCCCUAGGUGGUGAGUGGGGAGGAGCUGGGCAGCAUACAGG
This is a non-coding RNA of Rattus norvegicus (Norway rat), 8560 nucleotides long. Lineage: Eukaryota; Metazoa; Chordata; Mammalia; Rodentia; Muridae. The record is from RefSeq and is a predicted model, not a curated record.